GUAUCAUAUUGUCUAUGUGAUCAUGUGUCUAAUUGCCAUCCACUUACAGGCCCUCUGCCUCCUUUCAUUUGUUUUUUUAGUUGUUUUUUUUUUUCAGUUUUUUUUUCUUAUUGUUGUAUUGUAUGCAAUUAUGAUAAAUAUGUUACUGUGAUAUUGUUAUAACACAGAGACUUUGGUAAAUGUGACAUUUAAGUACUGCUGUACAAUUUUCUGCUCUCAUUUUCAGAUGAAAAGUGCUACACAGUUCUCACACAUAUUCUGACUCCGAAGCCGCUGCAGUGUAAAAUCUGAGAUGUCUUUUCUGGUUGAUUUUGUACAGAUUUCUGACAGCGAUGGUGAGGGAAGCAGUGUACCGAACUCUCAGAUGACUCUGACCAGAUGACCAAACCCAUGCAAAGCACAAUGACUGUGCUGAGGCGUUCCGCCCCCCUCCCCCUCCACACCACUCAAGGCACGGCGGCGGCCCAACCGCAAACUAACGGAGAUUAACAUGAGGCUGGAUGCGCUUGGCUCCCUGCUGCGUCCAUCACCAGAGGGGCCGGGGUUGCUGCGGCAGCUAGCCAAUUAAAGGAGGAGGAUGAAGGAGAGGAGUCUGACGAUGCAGACAUCGCCAUCGUAUGCAGUCCACGCCCUCGCAGGAAAACCAGCCAAUGAAAACGCUUGCAGCAGCAUCAGCAGAACACACCGGCACGACUGACAGAGCUUCUGAAGCAUGCAGUGGAAGAGCCGUCAGUCAAGCUAAAGGUCCCAUCCUCCAACCUGCUGCUGCUGCACGGAGAGGCGGAACUUAACACCUCCCACACUAUUGGCCAGCUAGGACUCUGCAUCGCUGACAUCUUUGUCUGGAACCAACUUCACAUCCCUCUUCACUGCACUACUGACACUGAGAUGGAAUCCACAACCCAAUCACUAGUGGUCUGCAUUGGGAACCUGAAGAGUCUGUCAUAACCGCCAGGAAUGACCGUGUGACCAUUCCCGUUGCAGACGGCCUGACUUGCACAAUUGACAAGCUGUUCAAGCUUUACUGGGUCUGCAACUUGUUAUAUCCAGCACAGCUCAGCUCUGUUUUCACCUUCUUUGAAUAUGUUUAUGACGUUCCCAUCUCAACCAACAAACGAACAAAGGCACUACAACUUCUCUCAAAGCUUCCCAGCAGCCCAGUGAUCACUCAACAUGUGUUUAUGCCCAAAAUGUAAAUAGUUACUACAGACAUCAAGAAAGUAGUUUGGCAUCUUUGUCAAGUACACGCUUUGUCAGAUGCACAGGAUAUGAUGAUAAUUUGCAGCCAAGAUGGCUGUUCAAGUGUACAAGGACUUACUAUGUAGACACCACCUACGUAGACACCACCAGUCCACAACAACAGAAAUGGGAGUAUCUUUCAAUGACUCUUUUGAAUCCACUGACAUUCAGACAGCCUAUGCAGCUUCAAGUAACACCUGAAGAAAGAGCAUUUUGUGUCCCUUCUCAAGGACCGAUUCUCCAUAAUUUACCAGUUAAUGGCAAUUUAUCUGUGUUCAUGCUUGUUAGGAUUAUUACAGGGAAUUAUUUUGAUUAUCAUUUUGGCAACACUUUAUUUUAUCAUUACAUCUAUUAGCUCUAAUACAUACAGUGUUAAUGCCUGUAUGCUGUAUAAGUAACUUGUAAGGCAUGCACUAAGCAAAAUCAAACAUACGUUAGGCAUGUAUUCGCAAAUGCCUUGUUCAUGCACUAUUUGGGAUUUAUUACCUAAUAUAACCUGAUUUCGCUUAGUACAUGCCUUACAAGUUACUUAUACAGGCAUUAACUCAUUGAUACUGGAUGUUGCGUUGUGCAACAUUGGCCCUGGAGUUUUGUAUGGCAUCAGCACCCUUUUCUGCAAGUGCUUUAGGCAUCAAUGGGUUAACAUUGUAUGUAUUAGUGCUAAGCGAUGUAAUGUUAAAAUAAAGUGUUACCAUCAUAUUUUUAAAAAAUAUAUAUGUUGUAAAACUGGACGAUUGUGAAAUGAUAUGAUGUGGCAGAUGUAAGACCCAUUGAUGUAAUGCAGAGUUUUCAUUCA
Engraulis encrasicolus (European anchovy) is the source of this 2035-nucleotide long non-coding RNA. RefSeq lists it as uncharacterized. The record is from RefSeq and is a predicted model, not a curated record. The transcript has 6 exons. NCBI's taxonomy places the organism in Eukaryota, Metazoa, Chordata, Actinopteri, Clupeiformes, Engraulidae.